RNAcentral lists this ribosomal RNA (226 nucleotides) under uncultured bacterium. Its description in RNAcentral is "partial 16S ribosomal RNA". It matches the Rfam family "Bacterial small subunit ribosomal RNA", at positions 15 to 231 of the family's 1533-position model. The record is from RNAcentral.
GAUCCUGGCUCAGGAUGAACGCUAGCUACAGGCUUAACACAUGCAAGUCGAGGGGCAGCAUGAAGUCAGCUUGCUGACUUUGAUGGCGACCGGCGCACGGGUGAGUAACGCGUAUCCAACCUGCCCCGAUACUCGGGAACAGCCCUCCGAAAGGAGGAUUAAUGCCCGAUGUGGUCCAUUGAAGGCAUCUGAUGUGGACUAAAGAUUCAUCGGUAUGGGAUGGGGA